GACGGGGCCCGCACAAGCGGCGGAGCAUGUGGAUUAAUCGAUGCAACGCGAAGAACCUUACCUGGGUUUGACAUAUACCGGAAAGCUGCAGAGAUGUGGCCCCCCUUGUGGUCGGUAUACAGGUGGUGCAUGGCUGUCGUCAGCUCGUGUCGUGAGAUGUGGGUUAGGUCCCGCAACGAGCGCAACCCUAUCUUAUGUUGCCAGCACGUUAUGGUGGGGACUCGUAAGAGACUGCCGGGGUCAACUCGGAGGAAGGUGGGGACGACGUCAAGUCAUCAUGCCCCUUAUGUCCAGGGCUUCACACAUGCUACAAUGGCCAGUACAGAGGGCUGCGAGACCGUGAGGUGGAGCGAAUCCCUUAAAGCUGGUCUCAGUUCGGAUCGGGGUCUGCAACUCGACCCCGUGAAGUCGGAGUCGCUAGUAAUCGCAGAUCAGCAACGCUGCGGUGAAUACGUUCCCGGGCCUU
RNAcentral lists this ribosomal RNA (466 nucleotides) under uncultured Rhodococcus sp. RNAcentral describes it as "bacterial SSU rRNA". It matches the Rfam family "Bacterial small subunit ribosomal RNA", at positions 916 to 1381 of the family's 1533-position model. Lineage: Bacteria; Bacillati; Actinomycetota; Actinomycetes; Mycobacteriales; Nocardiaceae. The record is from RNAcentral.